GCCAAAAUAGCUCAGUUGGGAAAGCAUUAGAAUGAAGAUCUAUAAGACUCCGGUUCAAUCCCGGCUUCGGCA
RNAcentral lists this transfer RNA (72 nucleotides) under Anopheles sinensis. It matches the Rfam family "tRNA". From Rfam's summary of the family: Transfer RNA (tRNA) molecules are approximately 80 nucleotides in length. Their secondary structure includes four short double-helical elements and three loops (D, anti-codon, and T loops). The record is from Rfam by way of RNAcentral. Lineage: Eukaryota; Metazoa; Arthropoda; Insecta; Diptera; Culicidae.